Molecule: non-coding RNA, 30 nt
Filed under: Rattus norvegicus (Norway rat)
Lineage: Eukaryota; Metazoa; Chordata; Mammalia; Rodentia; Muridae
Source: RNAcentral
UGUUCAUUUAGUCACUGAGGUGGACUGACU